Long non-coding RNA from Gasterosteus aculeatus aculeatus (three-spined stickleback), 1480 nucleotides. NCBI's taxonomy places the organism in Eukaryota, Metazoa, Chordata, Actinopteri, Perciformes, Gasterosteidae. The record is from Ensembl.
ACACACACACACACACACACACACACACACACACACACACACCCUCUUUAACUUCUUCUUUACUUUUACUGGAAGCAGGUUCCUCUUUUCAACCACGGAAAUAUUUUUGUUUUCCUGUUCUGGUUCCCGUUAGUCCCCCGUAGUCUCCGGUCUGUCUGUGUGUGUGUGUGUGUGUGUGUGUGUGUUCCCAAAGAGCAGGUACAAUGUGUUUAUUUGUGCAGUGCUGCAGUGAAUCGGAGGACUUCAACCAGAUGUUCCACUGUCCCUUUUUUCCCCCGCAUUUCUAACGGAUGUGCAGCUCCACAGAGCUCCGGGGCGUCAUUGUAGCUCAUGUGUUGUCCCAUCCGAGAGUUUGACUUGUCACUGCAGAAACAACCACUCCGCUCGGCUUGGCCUCUCGAUCGAGUAGGAGCCGCUUGUAUCUGCUGUUGCUAAGCUCCAACCGGUUGCACCGGACGCACCGGUUUCUAAGUAUCUACGCAAACGUUCCGGAGGGACUGAAUACAGUUGCUAAACUGAACUACAGCUAAACCUCUACAUGUAAGCAAACAACCUUGACAUUCAAGCGUUUGUAAGACAAGUUCAAACAAUGCCGAGGAAGCUCAUGAAUACACUGCUUCCACUUCAUAUACGAAAAACACUUUUGCAAAAGAAAUGUCAAAUAUUACAGCUUGUGAGGCCACAGUUGCUUCCUAUUGACAUAAUGGAAAGUUUCAUGGCAGCCGCUACACAUUACUUAAUCCUUCGCUAUCCACUUUCAUUUUUUAUAAAUGACUGACUAUAAUCUGCCAAAGAUUAAAUUCUUCAACCCUUAAUACGUUAAUUAACAAAUGCUGAUUAACCAAAAUAAAAUUUCCUUUAUUUAGUCAUGAAAACUUAAAAAAGAAGCUCAAACUAGACAUUCUUUUCUAGUUGUUUGUCACGUCCAAGCGUCCUCCAUCACUCUCGCUGAUGUUUUUUUCAAAACUGUACAAUACUAUAUUUUGCCCUAUUUAAAAGCACAAACAACAUACAUACAUAUAUAUAUAUAUAUUUCCAUGUGAAAUAUUCAUAUAUUUGAAUAUAGCUAAAUCUGAAAUUCUGUUUCACAUCUUUUCAUCAUAAAUGUCUUACAUUAUGCAUUGUUCAUAUAUACUUUAUGACAUGCUAAGUGUCCAAAUAGCCCGCUCCUCGAUGUGAACGUUUCAUGCAUGUGAUCACUCGUGUUAAACACGUACGUGGAUCAGGUUUCUCACCAUUAAACCCGUAUACUCCAUUUCAUACGUCAGCACUUCCCUCAGGAUUUAAUCAGUCCGAACGCGCUGCCUUGUUCCCGUGCACAUUACUCACCUUUACACCUCCAACGACGAGGCGUGUUGCAGCUUUCUGGUAAAACUUCAAUUAAUCUCGACGAUGUCGAUAGAUAAGGACGCGCUGCAGCGGAGCUUUAUGUAACAGUUACUGUGUGCGCACUCGCUGCGGACUCCAACGUGGCUCUACA